RNAcentral lists this ribosomal RNA (1515 nucleotides) under Triticum aestivum (bread wheat). RNAcentral's name for it is "partial small subunit ribosomal RNA". The record is from RNAcentral. Lineage: Eukaryota; Viridiplantae; Streptophyta; Magnoliopsida; Poales; Poaceae.
AUGCUGAGGCUACUGAUCAUUUGGGCAGCGAUCUUGGGCUGCUGCCAUGGGCAGUCCGAAGUGUCCCGGAGGAACAGCCGGCUGAGGGUGAUGUCACCGCCGGAGCUCGAGGGCACAUACGGCUGUGCCAGCACCGACUUCGGUUUCCCGCAGCACGGUGGCUCCAUGACCGGCGUGGUCGUCUACCCAAGGCGCAACACGAUGGCCUGCACGAGCUUCGAUGACUUUGGCAUCUCUCUCCGUUCUCGCCCAGCCGGCGCGCUUCCUGUUAUCUUGCUCGUCGACAGGGGAGAAUGUUACUACACAACCAAGGUGAGGAAUGGGCAGAAAGCAGGAGCAGCAGCAGUUCUUCUUGUUGAUCAAAUAACUCAACCAUUAUUUACAGUCGACAAAUCAGAAAGCAGCCAGGCAACAAAUGAUUUACAGGAUGUCACCAUUCCUUCAGCACUUAUAACCAGAAGCCUUGGGAACAGUCUCAAGAAAGCAAUUGAUAAUGUCGAUUUGGUUAAUGUAAGCUUCAACUGGGGGGAGUCCCGAUUGUACCCUGAUGAGCGUGCUGAGUAUGAAUUCUGGACAAACAGUAAUGAUGAAUGUGGUCCAAAAUGCGAUAGCCAGGUUGAUUUCCUAAAGAGAUUUAAAGGUGUAGCCCAGACACUUGAGAAGAAGGGCUACACGCAGUUCACUCCUCAUUACAUUACUUGGCAUUGCCCAGAGAGUUACCAAAAUAGCAAAAUGUGCAGGUCCCAAUGUAUCAACUAUGGGAGAUAUUGUGCACCAGACCCGGAACAACAUAGGUAUGAUGGGUGCGAUGUAGUGGUUCAGAAAUUACAUCAACUUUGUGUGUUCAAAGUUGCAAAGAGGACUGGGAAGCCUUGGUUAUGGUGGGACUAUGUGACUCAUUUUGCUAUUAGGUGCUCAAUGAAGGAAAUGAACUACAGUAAAAGAUGUGCUGACAGAGUAAUCGAAUCACUUGGCCUUAAUCAAAAAGAGGUUGACAUGUGUGUUGGUGAUCCUUCCGCGGACGAGGAAAAUCCUGCGCUAAAAGCUGAACAAGACACACAGAUUGGCAAGGGUUCUCAUAGUGAUAUUACUAUGUUACCAACACUUGUAAUCAACAAUAGACAAUACAGAGGGAAACUUGAAAAAGGAGCAGUUCUUAGAGCUCUCUGCACCAGCUUCCAAGAAAAUAAUAAACCAUCUGUUUGCUCAAAUGAAGAAGAAGACAUACAAACCAAUCAAUGCUUGGACAACAAUGGCGGUUGUUGGCAAGAUAUGGCUGCUAACGUGACUGCGUGCAAGGACACCUCCACUGGAACAGUUUGUGAAUGUCCAGUUUUGCAAGGUGUGAAGUACAUUGGUGAUGGUUACAACGACUGCAAAGCUCCCAUGUAUCAAGAUUGGCAGCCGAUCAAGAUCCGUAAUACCCAUACAUAUUCUUCUUAUUUAACAGAGGUUGUCCAUAAGGCCAUUUACAACCUCUUUGCAGGAAUAUUUGCGGCACAUAAGGUGUUCUAA